Molecule: ribosomal RNA, 292 nt
Filed under: uncultured bacterium
Lineage: Bacteria
Description: partial 16S ribosomal RNA
Rfam family: Bacterial small subunit ribosomal RNA
Source: RNAcentral
GUGUCAGCAGCCGCGGUAAUACAGAGGUCCCAAGCGUUGUUCGGAUUCACUGGGCGUAAAGGGUGCGUAGGUGGUAAGGCAAGUCAGGUGUGAAAUCUCCGGGCUCAACCCGGAAAUGGCAUUCGAAACUACCUUGCUAGAGGGUUUGAGGGGGGACUGGAAUACUUGGUGUAGCAGUGAAAUGCGUAGAUAUCAAGUGGAACACCAGUGGCGAAGGCGAGUCCCUGGAAAACUCCUGACACUGAGGCACGAAAGCUAGGGGAGCAAACAGGAUUAGAUACCCUCGUAGUCC